CAAGGGAGAGAAGAAGAGAACGUACUUCUCUUUCUCUCUCUAUAAUUGUCUUUCCUCCGAUCUCCCUCUAUAAGUAAUUAUUUAGAGCGGUUUUUGUGCAAUUUUCUUCUUCUUUCUGGUGUUGGCGGUUCCUAUUAUUUCUCCUAAUCGAUUUCUGCUGCCCUUCCCAUUUCUGGUUCCCUUACCCACUUGCACUCCAUCUUUCUCUACAAAAUCCCAUCUCUCUUUCCAAAUUCUACUAUCUACCCAUUUUGUUUUGUCUUGCUUUCCUUGAGCAUGGUAUUUUUAUGCCAGCAUUGAACUUUCUUCUCUGUUCUGAACAAUUUUUUGUUGUAGCUUUGUUUUUCCCAUUUCUAUUGGUUUUGCUUCCA
Molecule: unclassified non-coding RNA, 371 nt
Filed under: Hevea brasiliensis (rubber tree)
Lineage: Eukaryota; Viridiplantae; Streptophyta; Magnoliopsida; Malpighiales; Euphorbiaceae
Source: RNAcentral